AACGUAGGACGCAAGCGUUAUCCGGAGUUACUGGGCGUAAAGCGCGUGCAGGCGGAUCGGUAAGUUGGUUAUGAAAGCUCCUGGCUAAACUGGCAGAGGUUGACCAAGACUGCAGGUCUUGAGUGAGAGAGAGGGACACGGAAUUCCGGGUGUAGUGGUGAAAUGCGUAGAGAUCCGGAGGAACACCAGUGGCGAAGGCGGUGUCCUGGCUCUCAACUGACGCUGAGGCGCGACAGCGUGGGGCGCGAACGGG
RNAcentral lists this ribosomal RNA (253 nucleotides) under uncultured bacterium. RNAcentral describes it as "partial 16S ribosomal RNA". It matches the Rfam family "Bacterial small subunit ribosomal RNA", at positions 524 to 776 of the family's 1533-position model. The record is from RNAcentral.